This 249-nucleotide long non-coding RNA is filed under the name Oryza brachyantha (malo sina). RNAcentral describes it as "long non-coding RNA (OBRA_LNC000865)". The record is from RNAcentral. Lineage: Eukaryota; Viridiplantae; Streptophyta; Magnoliopsida; Poales; Poaceae.
GUUUUCAUUUGAGUAAAUGUUGGAUAAAAACAUAUAAUUUUUUAUGUGCUUGCAUCUACUCUUCUCAGGUCAGAGCGUAAUCGAAAACAUUGUUUCAAAAGCUUGUAUAGAAAGUAAAAAUGGGGCCAUAUGGUUUUUCAAAUCGAUUGAAUUGAUGUUUCAAUGAUCAUUGUGGCUGCCUUUCCUGGAGGAAUCUGGGAUUCUUCGCUUGCUGAUGUAUAGUUAUUAACAUUUGCCAUCUUAUCUUGG